AGCAGCCGCGGUAAUUCCAGCUCCAAUAGCGUAUAUUAAAGUUGUUGCAGUUAAAAAGCUCGUAGUUGAAUUUCGGGAUCAAUACGUCGGUCGUGCUUCGGUACGUACUGGCGUCAUUGGUUUCUCCUUUCUGACGAACCAUGAUGUCAUUAAUUUGGUGUUAUGGGAAAUCAGGACUGUUACUUUGAAAAAAUUAGAGUGUUUAAAGCAGGCUCACGCUUGAAUACAUUAGCAUGGAAUAAUGAAAUAGGACGUUCGAUCCUAUUUUGUUGGUUUUAGGAUCAACGUAAUGAUUAAUAGGGAUAGUUGGGGGCAUUAGUAUUCAAUUGUCAGAGGUGAAAUUCUUGGAUUUAUUGAAGACUAACUACUGCGAAAGCAUUUGCCAAGGAUGUUUUCAUUAAUCAAGAACGAAAGUUAGGGGAUCGAAGACGAUCAGAUACCGUCGUAGUCUUAACCAUAAACUAUGCCGACUAGGGAUCGGAUGAUGUUAAUUUUUUAAUGACUCAUUCGGCGCCUUACG
This 520-nucleotide ribosomal RNA is filed under the name uncultured Glomeraceae. Its description in RNAcentral is "SSU rRNA". It matches the Rfam family "Eukaryotic small subunit ribosomal RNA", at positions 569 to 1092 of the family's 1831-position model. The record is from RNAcentral. Lineage: Eukaryota; Fungi; Glomeromycota; Glomeromycetes; Glomerales; Glomeraceae.